This 252-nucleotide ribosomal RNA is filed under the name uncultured bacterium. RNAcentral's name for it is "partial 16S ribosomal RNA". It matches the Rfam family "Bacterial small subunit ribosomal RNA", at positions 57 to 305 of the family's 1533-position model. The record is from RNAcentral.
GCAAGUCGAGCGGUAACAGGAAGUAGCUUGCUACUUCGCUGACGAGCGGCGGACGGGUGAGUAAUGCCUGGGAACAUGCCUUAGUGUGGGGGAUAACUAUUGGAAACGAUAGCUAAUACCGCAUAAUGUCUUCGGACCAAAGAGGGGGAUCUUCGGACCUCUCGCGUCAAGAUAUGCCUAGGUGGGAUUAGCUAGUUGGUGAGGUAAUGGCUCACCAAGGCGACGAUCCCUAGCUGGUCUGAGAGGAUGAUC